AAUGCUGCACAAGCAGCAGCAAUGCAAGAAUUCCCGACAUCAAGGAGUGUUACGAACAGAAGCCAAGAAAGGACUGCAGGUUCCACGCCUUUCUGAUCAUAACUCCAGACAAUAAGCAAUACUGUGUGAAGCCAGAUGCUCAGUGGCUCAAACAUCUUAUCAAUGAGGGUCUGAACUGUCCUUCCAUCAUCCCGCCCAAACGCAGAUUUGAAGUCCUGAACAAAGUCGACAUGGAAUAAAAACAGCUGCCAGAAUCAUUUCUGAUCAUUUACUGCUUCCUGCUUUUACUGCAAUAUAAAGAUAGAUAAAUAUAGAUAACUGAACAUGUUUCAGGCACAGCUUUGCUUUUUUUGGAGGGAAAUAAUCCUGCAACCAAAAAUAAUAAAUCAUUUAGAAAGUGA
Scomber japonicus (chub mackerel) is the source of this 401-nucleotide long non-coding RNA. RefSeq lists it as uncharacterized. The transcript has 3 exons. Lineage: Eukaryota; Metazoa; Chordata; Actinopteri; Scombriformes; Scombridae. The record is from RefSeq and is a predicted model, not a curated record.